AGGAACAUCAUCUGAAACAACAUCUGGAGUAGCAGGGAGCACCACCCCUCCUCCUCCAAGUACAGGAGCACCAGGUUCAGGUAGCACAGUGACAUCCUCAGGCCACACUACCAUCUCUCAAGCCUCUAGUCUAUCCCCAGCCUCUACCAGCAGCAAACCAGGCACACCUGGUGCAUCUACCGCUCCCACCUCAGGAGAAGCAGGAAACAGCACUCCAAUUCCUGCAAGUACUGGAGCCCAAGGUUCAGGUAAGAACUCCUUGCUUUUGGAGCUGUC
Molecule: long non-coding RNA, 276 nt
Filed under: Cricetulus griseus (Chinese hamster)
Lineage: Eukaryota; Metazoa; Chordata; Mammalia; Rodentia; Cricetidae
Description: lncRNA (ENSCGRG00000026235.1)
Source: RNAcentral